GCUGUAGACAAACUGGUAAGACUUGUUCUCCAGCCUUCGUGAAAACAGCUUCUCAUUUCACAAGAAGUCCCAUGCAUCAUCUCUUACCCUAAAACCCAACGCCUUGCUUGACUACAGCAGAGGAGAAUUUUUGAAAACCUGUGAUCUCUUCUCGGCAUCCCUUCCAUUGUGGAUCAGAAAUCACGAUUUCCAUUCUGGCAAAUCUUUCCUCAGUGGGCACUCCUGAAUGAUUCAGCUCCAUACCCUACUGAGAAUAUUAAAGAAGACAAUCAUACCCUGAAGGUAAACCGGUGUUCCAUGGAUACAGUAGUGGUUUCCACAUGUGACUCAGACACUCCACAAGACCUUCCUGGAAGACAGCCAUCAUAUUUUGAAAUGCAACAAGUAUGUGCAGUCACUCCCAGCUGGACCAGCCAGAUGUGCAGCAGUGUCUGAACACCCUGAGGGAGAGGAAGUGGAGGACAAGGAGACACAGCUGAGCACCAAAAAAACCGCAUACUAUAGGACCACUUCAUCUGCGAAAUUCCAGGUGUGUUGGGGUAUCCAGGAUUGGCCGAGGUGGG
Long non-coding RNA from Mus musculus (house mouse), 563 nucleotides. RefSeq annotates it as predicted gene, 41436. Lineage: Eukaryota; Metazoa; Chordata; Mammalia; Rodentia; Muridae. The record is from RefSeq and is a predicted model, not a curated record. The transcript is spliced from 5 exons.